UGGCAUAAUGGUGUUUUGCUCAAUAA
Molecule: non-coding RNA, 26 nt
Filed under: Homo sapiens (human)
Lineage: Eukaryota; Metazoa; Chordata; Mammalia; Primates; Hominidae
Source: RNAcentral